UACGUAGGUCCCGAGCGUUGUCCGGAUUUAUUGGGCGUAAAGCGAGCGCAGGUGGUUUAUUAAGUCUGGUGUAAAAGGCAGUGGCUCAACCAUUGUAUGCAUUGGAAACUGGUAGACUUGAGUGCGGGAGAGGAGAGUGGAAUUCCAUGUGUAGCGGUGAAAUGCGUAGAUAUAUGGAGGAACACCGGUGGCGAAAGCGACUCUCUGGCCUGUAACUGACACUGAGGCUCGAAAGCGUGGGGAGCAAACAGG
RNAcentral lists this ribosomal RNA (252 nucleotides) under uncultured bacterium. RNAcentral's name for it is "partial 16S ribosomal RNA". It matches the Rfam family "Bacterial small subunit ribosomal RNA", at positions 524 to 776 of the family's 1533-position model. The record is from RNAcentral.